UCUCCGUUGGUGAACCAGCGGAGGGAUCAUUACCGAGUUUACAACUCCCAAACCCACUGUGGACCUUACCUAUCGUUGCUUCGGCGGGCGGCCGCGCGCUGCCUGCCGGGGGCCCGAGACUCUCUGUUUUAAUGAUGUUUCUCUCUGAGUGGCAUAAGAAAUGAAAUCAAAACUUUCAACAACGGAUCUCUUGGUUCUGGCAUCGAUGAAGAACGCAGC
RNAcentral lists this unclassified non-coding RNA (219 nucleotides) under uncultured fungus. Its description in RNAcentral is "sequence contains ITS1, 5.8S rRNA gene". The stretch from base 171 to 219 matches the Rfam family "5.8S ribosomal RNA", at positions 1 to 49 of the family's 154-position model. Lineage: Eukaryota; Fungi. The record is from RNAcentral.